GCCCGCCUAGCUCAAUCGGAUAGAGCGUCAGACUUUUACGGAGGGCGAUCUGAAGGCUGCGAGUUCGACCCUCGCGGUGGGCU
This is a transfer RNA of Pleurotus ostreatus PC15, 83 nucleotides long. It matches the Rfam family "tRNA". From Rfam's summary of the family: Transfer RNA (tRNA) molecules are approximately 80 nucleotides in length. Their secondary structure includes four short double-helical elements and three loops (D, anti-codon, and T loops). Further hydrogen bonds mediate the characteristic L-shaped molecular structure. tRNAs have two regions of fundamental functional importance: the anti-codon, which is responsible for specific mRNA codon recognition, and the 3' end, to which the tRNAs corresponding amino acid is attached (by aminoacyl-tRNA synthetases). tRNAs cope with the degeneracy of the genetic code in two manners: having more than one tRNA (with a specific anti-codon) for a particular amino acid; and 'wobble' base-pairing, i.e. permitting non-standard base-pairing at the 3rd anti-codon position. Lineage: Eukaryota; Fungi; Basidiomycota; Agaricomycetes; Agaricales; Pleurotaceae. The record is from Rfam.